Pan paniscus (pygmy chimpanzee) is the source of this 321-nucleotide long non-coding RNA. The record is from Ensembl. NCBI's taxonomy places the organism in Eukaryota, Metazoa, Chordata, Mammalia, Primates, Hominidae.
UCAUUCUUUAUUAUUUCUGACAAAUGCUUCUUACCUGGCAACAAUUAUGACAAUUUCAAAUCAAUAUUCUUUACAGGCUUAUGCCCCUCCUCACUGCUGCCUCCCCACCCCUUUUUCUUUCUCCUCCUCCUUUGUCUUUGUCUCCAAUUCCUGGCUUAGAUCACAGGUCAAUCUGCAGAUUCAUCAAGGAUCCCAGGGAAGAGGUACCUUCAUUGUUCAGACUAAAUUAAGAAGUUGAUACUGAUCCAUUCUGCUUCAUUCUGCCUCAGGUUCCCACCUUGUGAUCCAACAAUCUUGCCUUAAAUAAAAUUAUGUUUACCC